UGGGUUGGCAGCUGAUCCCAACCGUAAUGUACUCGGCGUUUAGAACCAAAACGAUCCAGUAUAAAAUGUGCGGAGGGUUUGGAGUUGGACUGUCCUCUCUCAAUACGGGAAUUCAUGAUUUCCGAUAAGCGAACCGAGUUCCUGAAUAUGAGGAGCUUGAGGUUGAGGUUCCACUGCCAGAUUUAAAUAGAGGAUUGAUUAUGGAGAAGAUGACCGCCCCUGGCACAACACUCAUUAACCCCUGUUCUCUCUUGCUGCCUUGCCUCACCCACAAAGAGGGCCAUCAUCCUCCGAAGCCAUCUUAACUCAGUCUGGAGAACCUGGGAAGGGAAUGAAUGACAGGAUACUUUCUCUCACAGGAGAAUAUCCAUCAUUUUUCAAAAAUUGACAAUAAUGUGUGAGUCAUGCUAAUCCCGAGGAAUGCCGAACUCAUUCUUCUUCAUUCUUCGGGCGAAUCAUCCCGGGACCAAAAACGACGGAACAUACAGAGAAGAGAGCAAAGGGGGGUGUCCGUCUAAAGAGAGCUAGCUGCCCGGAACUGUAUCUAGUACGAAGACCUCAUCCAGAAUGGAUGGGCAUUGAGACUGAUCCUAUUUAGACCACUCGUGUGUGGUCUGUGUGCGGCCCAAGGAAUAUCUCUGCUAUUCCCAGUAAUGAGACGGAUGAUUUUCCGCUCGCACAUUCAUCGUUAUGACGAGUGUCUGUCUACAUAUAUACGAUACGUACAGUACUGUAUGCAUAGUCAGUAUGUGUGUGUUCAAGAAUCAAGACCGUUUUGGUCCUAGUGUUCUAGGUCUUGGGGUCGGCGCCGGAUUUUAUGGUUCAUCCCGAUGGGAAUGCAUUCCUCCAAGUGCAGAAAUACAUUAAUUGAGGUGUUUUCUGGGCAAACGAACGAGAGCAAAACCAAUCUCUUGUUCAAGCUUGGAAAAAGAGCAAUCAUGGCCUGAGUUGCGAGCGAGACGUGCUCGUUAAGUCAGUCUAUUCACCCAAGCAACUCCGAUAUCCACUAUUCAGCGGUUCAGGUGUGUGUGGGGGGAGGGGGGGGGGCGAUACGGCGACGACGAACUCCACCAUCCUCUCGUCCAUCUCGAUUGCCAUCAUCAUCAUGAUCAUUGCCAACAGCCUCAACCUCAACCUUGUGCGGAAGGUUUCGGGGAUCUACUUUCCAUCAGAGCCCCACUAAGUUCAAUCCAAUCGGCCGUCACACGCUUACGUUCUCCUCAUCCAGCACAUAUGUUCAUACCAUCAGCAUCUGUGCGAGGGAUAAAGAUGGUGGAAAAAUGACAUGUUUGCCUUUCAUCCGCCAUACCCAGUCCGAAGCGAUAUCUCAAUGUCAAAUAGAUAAAUCACUUUUUUAGCUUGUCGAUUGAUAUGGAAAGGCAUGUCCAUUGUACCUCGACUGAAUUCCAAGUCCAGUCGGAAUACUGUCUUUGCUUGACUCUUUUAAUCAUUCUGUAGGGAAUAGUUUCAGAUUUUCGUUUUGCAUGAAGGAGGUCUUUCAAGUCAUUAAAAUCAUGUCAGAGAAGUGCAAAUAUAAAGCUUGAGAAUAAUUAGACUCGCCCUAUUCACA
Long non-coding RNA from Tigriopus californicus, 1570 nucleotides. RefSeq lists it as uncharacterized. The record is from RefSeq and is a predicted model, not a curated record. The transcript is spliced from 2 exons. Lineage: Eukaryota; Metazoa; Arthropoda; Copepoda; Harpacticoida; Harpacticidae.